GUCCUCUUGAAUUUAAUUUGAGGUCUAGCCUGCCCACUGAAAUUAUUUAAAUGGCCGCAGUAAUUUGACUGUGCAAAGGUAGCAUAAUCAUUAGUUUUUUAAUUAAAAGCUUGUAUGAAUGGUUGGACAAAGUAAAAUCUGUCUCUAUUUAAUUAUAAUAGAAUUUAAUUUUUAAGUUAAAAAGCUUAAAUUUAUAUAAAAGACGAGAAGACCCUAUAGAUCUUUAUUUAAUUUUAUAUAAUUUUAAUUUAGAAUUUUUUAUUAAUUAUAUAAAUUUAAAUUUUAUUGGGGUAAUAAAAAGAUUAAAAAAAUUCUUUUAUUAUUUUACAUUGAUUUAUGGUUAUAUGAUCCAAUAAUUUUGAUUAAAAGAUUAAGUUACCUUAGGGAUAACAGCGUAAUUUUUUUAGAGAGUUCAUAUCGAUAAAAAAGUUUGCGA
This 436-nucleotide ribosomal RNA is filed under the name Eretes sticticus. Its description in RNAcentral is "partial 16S ribosomal RNA". Lineage: Eukaryota; Metazoa; Arthropoda; Insecta; Coleoptera; Dytiscidae. The record is from RNAcentral.